AGUGAACGCUGGCGGUAGGCCUAACACAUGCAAGUCGAACGGCAGCACAGUAAGAGCUUGCUCUUACGGGUGGCGAGUGGCGGACGGGUGAGGAAUACAUCGGACUCUACUUUUUCGUGGGGGAUAACGUAGGGAAACUUACGCUAAUACCGCAUACGACCUACGGGUGAAAGCAGGGGAUCUUCGGACCUUGCGCGAUUGAAUGAGCCGAUGUCGGAUUAGCUAGUUGGCGGGGUAAAGGCCCACCAAGGCGGCGAUCCGUAGCUGGACUGAGAGGAUGAUCGGCCACACUGGAACGUAGACACGGUCCAGACUCCUACGAGAGGCAGCAGUGGGGAAUAUUAGACAAUAGGCGCAAGCCUGAUCCAGCCAUACCGCGUGGGUGAAGAAGGCCUUCGGGUUGUAAAGCCCUUUUGUUGGGAAAGAAAAGCAGCAGGUUAAUACCCCGCUGUUCUGACGGUACCCAAAGAAGAAGCACCGGCUAACUUCGUG
Molecule: ribosomal RNA, 492 nt
Filed under: uncultured bacterium
Lineage: Bacteria
Description: partial 16S ribosomal RNA
Rfam family: Bacterial small subunit ribosomal RNA
Source: RNAcentral